RNAcentral lists this long non-coding RNA (8071 nucleotides) under Canis lupus familiaris (dog). RNAcentral describes it as "lncRNA (ENSCAFG00000051444.1)". The record is from RNAcentral. Lineage: Eukaryota; Metazoa; Chordata; Mammalia; Carnivora; Canidae.
UUUUUUCACUCUUCUCUAAAAACCAUUGUUUAUUUUCCAGAGUCCAUUAAACAAGUUGAGUUGACACGUUAGUCACAGUAGAUCAUUUGGGAUUUUUUACAAUUUUUCUGCUCAAUCUACUUUACAAGAAAAGCUAGUAGCCUUUCUCAUUUUUCUAUUAGUUCGGGAAAAUCCACCCUUGACACCAUAGAAUGAAAUUGAAAACCAUAAAAUAUAGAAACCUGGGAACUCUGCCCCCAAACGCAGCUGUCAUAUAUAGUAACUUCACACAAUUCUAUAAAAUUGAGCAAACAAUUGUCUCUUCUGCCCUGCAACCAAGCCCGGCUACUGUCAAAAGCUUUGUUCUCUUUCUAAUUCCACAAAUGUUAAACUGCAAGCCCAAGUGCUAGUGUUAUUAGGAAGAAGAGUACCACAGAGAUGACGGGCUAGAAUUACACCUUGUACUCAUGAGCUACUCCAAUUAUCAGAAGCAAACAUACAGUUGACCUAAUCAUUUCAAGUUAACUUCUUCGUAAGGGGGUGCAAACUGAGAUCUAAAAUAUUUGGAAAUAGGAAAAUCUAUGAGGUUUGAAGACUCUGUACAUUAGAUGAAUGCAUACCAUUCUCAACUAUAAGGACUGGAAGAUAGGCUGUAAGAUAACUAAUAGGCAAUUUCCUUUCAUUUUAAUAAGGAAGUUAUACAAUGUAGCCCAAGGGGGCACGCCAUCCUUGGAGAACUCUAUUAGGCUUCAGCACAAUUCCCCAAAUCUACACUUGCAAAUGUUAAUUUGUAAUUUGAACACCGUGAAAAUUAAAUCAUCACACUAGGCAAGCUGAUUCACUGGCAAGGGAGCAAAAUUUGGAAGCCAAGGGCCAUUUUCUAUGGUUACCAUUAGUCAAUUACAGUCAGUAAAUUGAAGCUUAUCUUACCUGUUUUUUUUUAAAAAAAACCUGCCUCUCCAGAAAACAGUACCCACAAAAAAACUUGAAAAAUACACUAUUUGAGCAUAUAUACUACCAAAAUGCAAUUUUAUUUAUUUGUUUAGCCUUUUCUUAGAAAAUUUCUUUUACUCUACUACUUUAAUAUAAUUUUAUGCUUUCCUACCCAAUUUCCACCCCACAAGAGUAUCAUUUUAAAAUCAUCUGAGAGCAAGAGAGUUAAUUCUUAACACUUUAAUGUCUAACUUAUCUGUUAAAACUUUGUAGGAAUUAAUAGACUUCAGGCACUUGUAGCUAACAAGAAAAAGGAAUCCAGGGGCCUGUGAUAAGAGGUGAAGUAAAUAGGUAGAGUAAGGAGAGAUGCCAAGGCCCAAAGAUACACCUAACCAACCUGAGAGUCUUAUUCAGCUGGUAACCCUAUGCCUCAGACUCGUGCCAGCUCCUAACAGCAACCCGUGAGCAGGAGCCCAUGGCAGAACUGGGUCAGGCGUGUCUUGGCCAAAGUUGGUGCUGACCACAACUUUGACUAAUAGCCUGGGAAGGAAAGUUACCCUCUCAUGCUCAGUUUAACUCCAAAGAAACCGAAGAAACAGGAUGAGGUCUUGCUCUACCUAGGAAGAAAUGUAGCAACCAGAGACAGUACCUAUAGAAGGAGUUUUAAAAAUGGUAAGUCGACAUGGAACUUCAUUUUUUUUUUUUAUUGAUCAAAAGUAUUGUUAAACUGGCUUCACUGUGUUUGAACUUACAGAUAUUCUUCUGUCAGGUAGAAACUAGAUCUCUACUUCCUAAAAAAAUUUACUGUUAUUUCUUCCUUAAAUUUUUGUUACAGAUUACUGGAAUUUUUUUGUGGAAAGAUUUUUAAUGAUGGGUUCAAAAAAAAAAUUAUGGGUUCAAUUUUUUAAAUGAAUAAGAUCUACUGGGGUAGGAAAAUAAGGAUUAGUAGGAACCUUCAUGGGAGUGGCAAACAAGAGUCAACAUCUUUAGUUCUCUGUUACUGCUUUGAUUGGAGGUCAAGGAUUUAAUAUAUAUUAUUUUGAAAUCUUGGCCAACUAAACAACAAAUAUCUUUUUAUCUCAAGAUAUGAUUUUGCUACCCUCAGCCAUGAUAUAGAAGACUGCAGUGAGAAACUAAAAUUCAGUCAAUAGGAUUGUCUAUGAGCUUUUAAAAACCAGUUUUGGAAAAUUUGUAUCCAAUCCUUAAAAAGACAGUAAAUCUUACGUUCUCUGGAAACAAACCAAAAGGAUAUUACAAAUAUUAGCAGGUUAGUUAGUACUAGUUUUAUCAAAAAGUGAUCUGAAUUCUAUAUUUAUUGGUAUAUCUUGAAGGUCACAUAAUUUAGGGGACUUCUCAUAGUUUCCUAGUAACCAUGUUCUUGUAGAAACAUUAGCCAUAUUUCACAUAUGCUCAUCUAAGUUAUCAAGCCUAAAAGAGCUCUCCUCUCGCUCAUUAGACAUGACUCUGCCUACUUAAGUUUCUCAUUUCAAUAUAUUCUUUUGAUCAUUUUCUCCAGGGAAUCAUGGUCAAACGUCCACAUUUUAAUUACCAGCACACUAACACAGAGUGGCUGCUCCUUUUGAUAACGUAACACUUCCCUGGGGCAGAAUGCCAAGGAGUUGUCGGCACAACUGCACCUACUCUUUGAUGGCUAAGCAGCAACUGUCACAACACAACAAAUGUAAUUCAGUCCUAACAUUUUUUAUAAAACCCAUCCCGGUGUGAGGCACGCCUGCCCAUACACAAUCUUCAAGUGAAAAAGUGCCAUACUCCUCAGUGUCAGUGUGUGCAUCUAUGUGUAGACAUAUGUCCUGUUAAACUUCACAGACAAGUCUCUUCUAAUGGCAGAGGUCUCGCUCCCGUCUGACAAAAUAGGACCUAUCCAGUGGUGAAGGAUAAUCAAUUUAAAAAUUCUUGUCACCUGAACAUCUGUGAGUUCAAACACAUUGAGCCAGGCAAAAAUACUUUUGACCAAUCAAUAAAAACGGAGCUCUUGGUAAACUUAGUAUUUUUUUAAAAUGUACUAAUGCCUUAAAAAGGAUCCCAAAUCCAGUUGCUGAGAGUGAAAAUUAAUUAGAGCAGAUUUUUAUAACAUGUAGUUAUGAGACUAUUAAGGUCCACAUGCAAAAAUCAACCAAUUUGUAAUUCUGAUGAGUCACUUGCACAAAGGCAAGCAGGAAAAAUCAGAAAGAAACCACUAACAGCCUAAGAACAAUUAGAAUAUUCUUUUUUUUUCAACUAGGAUAUUCUUUUUAAAACUAUUACGUGGCAAUUAAUUUUAAAUGUUAAACUACAUUUCAAAAACAAAUACCUUCAUAAUAUCCCAUGAAUUUUAUUUCCCAACUCAUUCCUUGAAAAGCCUUUUCCCUUUCACAUAAUGGCAAUUCUUUCUAUUUUAUCCUAAAUGAAAAGGUGAGGCAGUAGAAAUUGAUGGGAUGAACAUUAAGCAGUUCACUCAAAAUACUAUAGGAGUAGUAGCAGAACUGCAUACAUACCUUUGAGUUCUGAAAAAAAAAUCAAAACAAAACAAAAACAACACUUGUAUUCUCUCCUUGCUUGUUAGAAAAGGGUUAAGAUGAGGCAUGGACAUACAAACUAAUCAGAAUCUCUCAGAUCCAAUGAUCAUCUGUAAGGAAUCCUGGGAAAGGAAGUCUCAUUUUACCUACUAGCUUAAGAUCUCAAAAAGUGUGGGCACGUGAGCUCUACUGCCACCUUGCUAUAACAUAAAACUUGAAUAUGAAGCCAAUACCAUAGGCAGCAAAACUGAGGAUGAAGAACACCAUUUUGUGACUCUGGAAUACAGCUCUAUCUGAAGCUGGUUCUAUUUCAGGGUUUUCAGUGCUGUGAGCCAAUAUUUGGCUCAAUUAUUUGACUUUCAAUUACAGUCAGUUUGAGUUGGACGUUUUAAAAUGUGCAAUCAGAGAGAUCUUAAAUGGUACAUUGCUCCAUAUUCCAUGUAAAACCUAAAAAACAAUUUUGACUGGUUUAGGUGAGGUGGUUGUUUAACAAUACUUUGGACCAAUCAACAAAAUGGAGCUCUUUGCAGACUUAAUAUUUUUAAAAACUCAUUAAUGCCUUAGCGAGGAGAAAAAGGGUUGUUAUUCGCAUUUCAUAAACAUAGAAUGAGAGGAAAGCAUAGAGAAGAGCUAAACAGAGUGGCCAAAUCAUCUUAAACUUAGUACAGUGUCAUUCAUAAUCCUAGUUUCUAAUAUCUGUCACCGACUCCUUUUUCAAGUUUGUGAAUCUUAUGAAUGAAAGUGGUGAAAAUAUUAUGAGCUCAGAAGCUAAAUAUGAUCUUAGUGACAACAUGCAAGUGGGUUAAUUACAUUAUAGGAUGAAAUUACCUUCACAAAACUUAUUCUAGCUCACCUAUGCUUAUUUCACAACAGAUUAUCAAUGCAGAAAUGAAAUGUGGGAGCUAUAUAAUGCAUAUUUACAUUUUUAUCUAAGGAAUUUUGGGACACAGAAACCCACAAAUAUUCAUUAAUAAGUUAUACCUGCUUAACACAUAAAAAACCUGCUUCUGUUUCUUUCAAGAAUAAUUUCCUCGCUUCUUUAUUAUAUCCCUUGGUUUCAUGUUUUCCAGUUAUAGCUGAUGUUUUCAAAGUUGACAAUAACUGAUGAUAAAGGAAAAUUUUAAAACAGCCAGGAAAACACUUUCUAAAGAUGCUUUAUGGCUCUCGGUAAUCUAAUUUGUGGGAAAUGCAGAAUGAAGCACCACAGAGUGCUUUUCAAUAAUUUAUGGUGGAGAUUCAUCUCCUAAGUUUAGAAACAUGAUUUGUGACCCAACUGUGCUGUGAACCUAUUUGUGUAAUUAGAUGGCUGGCUACAAUCCCCAACCUGGCCCAUUCUUCCUGCAUGCUCUUCUGGGUUUGUAAUAGAUUCUUGGAUCUAUCCUUUAGAAAUGAAUAAAUGAAAACAGUUAUUUAGCAUGUAUCUUUAAAAAAUUCUACUUAUUACUAAAAGCACAGGACUGGCUAGUAGAUUCUCAUUGUCAGAGUUUUUCCUUCUGAGUUUCGAGGAGAAGAGAUAAACACUAAUACAAAAUUAUUUUGUUUUCAUUUCAUUUACGUGCUUGAAUAGUGCAGGAUUUUUUUUUAUUGUGUAAUGAAAUCACAACAUCCUGACUAAAAAUUCACCUUAAAUGGGAAAAGGGACCAAGAAUAUCACAGCUAUAAGUAUUUCUAGUUCAAAUUUUAAAGGAUUCAUUGAGUGAGACUUAACAUUGACAAAACUAUUUUAAAAAUCAUCUUGAACUUCAAGUGAAAAAAGCCAGUUAUAUUAUCUUUAUUUUAUUUACAUGACUACUCUUAAGUUGUAGAAUAUUAAGUUACUUACAACAAACAGGGAGAAAUUUGGUCUUUUUCCUACAUUCACUUCCAUGUCCCUGACACUGUUUUAUGAUCCAAAUUUUCAUCUUUAAAUGAAGUAGGCACUUAGCUUUAAAAGAAGAAAAAGAAAAGACAACAGACAGCUAUGAAUUAUGUAUGACCUGUGUGCUCAGGGACAACUAAUUAGAAAUCAGUUAAGAAGAAAGUAAAUUCUGAUGCCAUCCUUCUCCAUUUUUAGGUAAAAGAAAACUUUUAGUUUGAAUAUUUGUUGUCAGCAAAAACUAACAUCCACAAUGAAAAUUUAUUUAUAAUGUUCUAUUUUAUACAGUUAAAGAAAAAAUGAUUAUAUUUAACCCAGUAAUGAGAUCAACGGAAUUGUUAAAUAAAACUUGUAUAAUUAAUUCUCAAAUGCCACUUUUUUUAGGAUAAAUGCUGAAAAUAACAGCUACAUAAAAGGUAGAAGACAAUUUAAUUAGGGAAAUAAAUAAAGCAAGUUUCUGGUUGUCAAAUGAGUAAUAAGUAAAGUAAAAGAAUAAAAUUUUAUUUUUCCUUAUAGGGAUUUUUAUUUUUAAACUUUUUUCGUGAAUAUAUUAUGUAACAUUAAAAAGAAGGAUUUGGGAGUAACAGCCCAAAUACUUGGAUUUGACUUCUAACUUUACUGGCUUUGUGAACCUGGGUAACUAAUUUAAACUUUCUGGGCCACGGAUGCCUGAAAUGGAAAGUGGAGGCAAUACUUGACCUAUUUAUAUUACCAAGUUAAGUAUCUGAAAACAUAACUAACACUUCGCAAAUUGUAAAGCACUAUCCAAAUAUAAAAUGUUGCUAUUAUAAAAUUUUCUAAAGCUUUAAUCUCAAAAUCGUAGUGACCCCCUAAAAUUAGAAGGUUAAUUACAUUGCCCAAGAAGAACUGCAAUUCAUCCAUCACCUUAUGAAUUCAGAGGUGUUUUUUGAGAUCAAAACUUUUUUUUUAAAUCUCUAAUUUUGUAAGUCUCCAGCAUUUUUAUAAGACUAAUAAGUAGACAUGUCCUAGAUACUUUUGCUAUAUCUGAAUUGCUUUUAAUUAUUUUAUAAUUACCACUUCAGAAAAUUUUAGUAAUUAUAUAAUUACUAAUUUAAGCAAAUACAGUUUCUGAAUAAUAUGUAUGCUUUCAUGUUGGAUUAUGAGGCUUUUAGUGCAUAAGCUAAUUCUGAGAAUAUCUCUGUAUUUGCUAAAUAUUUCUGCAAUUCUAUUAAAAAGGAACAGGGAUCCCUGGGUGGCGCAGCGGUUUAGCGCCUGCCUUUGGCCCAGGGCGUGAUCUUGGAGACCCGGGAUCGAAUCCCACGUCAGGCUCCCGGUGCAUGGAGCCUGCUUCUCCCUCUGCCUAUGUCUCUGCCUCCUCUCUCUCUCUCUCUAUGACUCAUAAAUAAAUAAAAAUUUAAAAAAAAAGGAACAAUUUCUCCACAUACUUAAGUUUCAGAAUCCCUUUCCUCUUCCUUGUAGGCAGUCUAAGUGUAAUUUUGGUUUUCAUAUAUAGGCUGCUUGCACAAGUAUAUCAUUUAAAUUGAAUCUUAUUCAUACAUGCUCAUAAUUUAGUUCCUGCUUGCUGCAUACAAUAACUGACAUUUACUUAAACUGUGUAAAACUAUGGAAAAUACAACAAAAAAUAAUUAUUCUAUAUAGUGAUAGUAAACCGUUAAACUUAUCAGUUAAGGAAAACUUUUGACCAAAACUGGCAAAUGCAUAGCCAAAUAUAUGGGAAGCCACAACCUCCCAGCCACUAGGUUAGCACUCCCAGAAAAGCAUUCCCAAUUCCUUGUCACCAAACCUCAGCCUCUUUCUUAACAUAAUACUCCAGGAAGCUGAUACCAAUUCUGUAGAUUUGAUAGUCAAGGAGAAAAAUAUUUACCUAUUACUGUAUUAGACCACUAUGUGCCUACAGGAAUCUAUAAGGUAUACUUUUGAUCUGAUUAACCAAAUGAAUUUUAUCUCCAGGAUUAAUACAUAUUCCCCUUUGUGUCAAUGCUGAUGCUGGAUCUUAGUGCUUUCAUCAUUAUUAUACCUAAAAAUAGGUUAUCAUUAUCAGAAAUAGUCCAGUGUGAGAAAUCUGUAAGAAAUAAGAAGCAGAUGACUAUCUUCAGUGAAAGAAAAGAUAAACUGCAAAUUCCAGUCUUGUGACACAGCAGACAUAAAAAAAGCAAUUUUUUACCAGAACUCAUGAAUAGAGACAUUCCUAAGGAAGAUUCUGAUAAGAAGAUAUAAAUUUAUUCAAUGAGCAUUUUAUAAUUUAUGUUGUAAAAAGUAUCACAGUAAUAAAAAGAGUAAAAUCAUGUUUAACUUGCAUUGGGAAACAAGGGUAACUCUUUACUGGCUUUCUCUGGUGGAGUGUUACAAUAUGCAUGUCCAAAUUUAUAUUACAUAUUGAUACUGCUUAUAAGCUGUUACUCACAUGUUCUCUCUUUGUAAAUGGCAGGCCUACCUAGCUGUGGUUUCACACAAAGUUCUCUGGACAAAUCUAGCCCAAACUAGCUUGUCAGCCCCAACUGAAUCACAUGGGCCUCAGCGUCAGCUUCUGAGAUUCACUUUUGAUAUUUCUGGUUGUUUUCUAGGAGUAUCACUUUUAUAGAUUUAUAUUGGUCAAUGUUCCUACUGCCACUUCUACUUCAUACUUUAGCCAUAUUCUAAGUGCUCAUUUUGGCCUCUUCUUGCUCUUGAAAGAUUGCUGCACAAAGCUCCAUGCUUGUGUUACUACCAUGGCAUAGCCCAGGACUCAGGUCACUGCUUGGUGCUCUGGCCACACCUCUCCUCAGUCUGCUGCUGGCUUCUGUCCUGUAACUUGAUAACUUGCUCC